UCCCUGGUGGUCCAGUGGUUAAGACUCCAUGCUCUCACUGAUGAGGACCCAGGUUCAACCCCUGGUCAGGGAA
Non-coding RNA from Bos taurus (domestic cattle), 73 nucleotides. The record is from Rfam. NCBI's taxonomy places the organism in Eukaryota, Metazoa, Chordata, Mammalia, Artiodactyla, Bovidae.